GUGCCAGCAGCCGCGGUAAUACAGAGGUCUCAAGCGUUGUGCGGAUUCAUUGGGCGUAAAGGGUGCGUAGGUGGCGGGGUAAGUCAGGUGUGAAAUUUCGGAGCUCAACUCCGAAACUGCAUUUGAUACUGCCUUGCUCGAGGACUGGAGAGGAGACUGGAAUUCACGGUGUAGCAGUGAAAUGCGUAGAUAUCGUGAGGAAGACCAGUGGCGAAGGCGGGUCUCUGGACAGAUCCUGACACUGAGGCACGAAGGCCAGGGGAGCAAACGGGAUUAGAUAACCCCGGUAGUCC
This 293-nucleotide ribosomal RNA is filed under the name uncultured prokaryote. RNAcentral's name for it is "partial 16S ribosomal RNA". It matches the Rfam family "Bacterial small subunit ribosomal RNA", at positions 505 to 796 of the family's 1533-position model. The record is from RNAcentral.